CAAGAAAUCAAACCAAGACAACAUGGGACAAAGGUGCUCCCAUAUGGUUUAAGCACAAAGACAGACAAGUACCCAACCUGAUGAUGAAACGCUACUCUAACUCAAGGCGACAAUAAUAGCAGUAAUUGAUACCUAUUCUUGCCCGUCAGCAGUUAUAUUAAAGAAGAGGACAGGCUGAGACUCAGGAAGAUCAGACAGCUGAUUGCUUUCAAAAUGAGACUCUAUGACAUGUAUAAGAACAUCAGUCCUCCAUUCGAAAUAGUGCAGACCCUAACCUUCACUUAAAAAAAAUUUCUGAUUUUUCUGUGAAGAUCGGCCUCUUCCUAUGCUGCAUCAACUUCAAAUAUUCUGCUGGCAGUGUCUGCACAAGAGGCUGUUAGGCUUCAGUCUGCCAUAGGCCCUGGGAUUCUACAGGGUCUAGAAUCCCAUGGUGUAUGUCUAUUCAUUUCAAAUAGUUUUCAAAAAUAGAAAAAUGUGAGAGGAUGAAUGCUUAAUAUUAAAUGAAAAGGAAUCUUUGCUACAAAGCAUACAUUCUGACACUGUUGUGUGAACUCAUAAUUUUGAGAUUUAAGUUUGUAUUUUUAAUGUAAUUUCAAAGUGGAGCAUAAUUUUUAAAACAGUAAAAACAAUAAAGCCAGCCAUGCAUAACUUAGAGAUAUCACUGUGCUGAUAAUGCCUGUACCAAAUGUGUCAGAGUUCUCCACACACAGGUUACUUUUAAAACCAGUCAAGAUAGCAAAAACAGUAUUAAAACACUUGAACCAUACUCAGAGAAAAUCAGUAGCUGGAGAAUUACAUUUGAGAUUUACAUCAACACUUCUAACAUCAAGAUUUAAAUUCUCUUAUUGUUUCUGCCUGGGUUCUCUAGGCAUACUAUAAUGUUAUUUAUAUCUUGCAACUCCAGGAUUUCGUUAAGAAUACAUGAAAUUCACAUUUCUAUUCUUUUCAAUUUGCACUCAUUCUUUGAUAUUUUAGGAUUUGAAUAAUAAUAAAAAUAUACAAGUCAAAAGAAAAUCUCUUCAUCAGUCACAAUGAUGAGCAUGGAGUAUAUAUUUGGCAGAGUCCUGUACCCAUAUAAUGACACAUGGUGUUUAUAGCUGCACUUACCAUGUGCUUCAACUCCUGUCCAUUCAUAGACAUUUAGCUUCAAAAGAGACAUCUUUAAUCAGAAAGUGCAAAUUAAAAUUGCAGUAACCUUUUUCCCAGCUCAGUGUUUACCUGAAAAAUGGAAGGUGGAUUUGGAAAUAAAUUACAUCAACUUUCACAUUCCUUACCUGCACUUUGCAAGGGCAUUAAUUUCCAAUUUAUCUCCAUUGUGCAUUUUAACUCAUACUCAAACAUUUGUAUCCAAUUACACAAAUACACAGAUGCAGAAUAUACUUUUAUUUAAGCUCAAUUAUACCAUAUUGGUAAAUUAAAAUGAUUUUGUAGCUUACUGUUAUUAUUAACAUUAAAAUCAUUAUGUUAUUAAAUGUAACAUUAAAAAUAUUCUUUCAAUGAAAUAUUUCUAUCAUA
Erinaceus europaeus (western European hedgehog) is the source of this 1515-nucleotide long non-coding RNA. RefSeq lists it as uncharacterized. The transcript has 5 exons. The record is from RefSeq and is a predicted model, not a curated record. Lineage: Eukaryota; Metazoa; Chordata; Mammalia; Eulipotyphla; Erinaceidae.